AUCUAAAAACAACAAUCAACCCUACAAACCAACGUAUAUACCUACGUGCUAAAAGUGAAAUUUUGACUCGUAACUACCGGAUAUUGAGAGAUGGGUUCGGGAUGAAAAAUUAAGUGACCAUAAACUACGACGCAAAAUCGUUUUGUGAGACAUUACCUUCGCAAAAUUGGUGUGUCGUCAGCGUGAAGUAGUUGCAGUAUGGAAGUGAAAUUAUAAAGUGACGUCAAGCUAUAAGUUUCAAAAUGGCCGCUGCUGCGCCUGCAGCCUCCUGCAUCAGCAUGGAUCGGGGGUGUGGGUUCGACUGCUUGGUGCAUCUUUGGGAAUGGCUUGAUCCACCCGUAGUACAGUCACAAUAUCCAAUGGAAAACAAGAAAUCAUUACCGGCUACCCAGCAGCCCUUGACACAACAGCAGCUAAUGGCACACCAUGUCCACCCAGAUCAGAUAUACUCCCCGCAACAGACACAGCUGGCAGCACACCUCACUUCUGCGCAAACUGGUCAAAUACAACCCAAUGGCGUCAUGCACCAGCUGCUACAAAGUCAAUACCAUUCAAACAUGAAUGCCCGGUCUCCGCUCCUAGAAAACAGACACGAACUAUAUGGAACUGGGCUCAAUCAAGACUAUACAAGGCACUACGGAGCUAAUGAUAAUUACAACUAUCCUCAGUCACCACCCGGACACGAAAGAACAGAUAUACAUACUGAUCAUAAUGUUAAUCAUGAGUUAUUACAUAAUAUACCCAAAGGGUACAAUGCAGAAGUCUAUCAGGAUUAUUUGAAACGUAACCCACCGAAAGAUGCCAAUCAAAUAUACCAAAAUCAUCAACCAAUGUAUAGACCAAACGCUAAUGCAUACGGUUCCAAGCCAUAUCUUCCGUAUUCAAAUAGGAUAGGACCACAGAGUAACACUGAGCUAUUACGGAGACAGUACAACGAGCUUCAACAAAUGAAAUUACAACAGCAAAUGCAUUACCAAAACCAAGCGCAGAUGUAUCAGCAACAAAAGUUCGCUGAACGACAACUUUUGCUUCAACAGAUUCACGGCGUACAGCCGCCACCUAAUUUACAAAAUAGUAUAUACUCAGACGGUUCUUAUAGGGAUUUAGAUCGAUAUAGUAGUAAAAACGAUUUCAAAGACUAUAGUAGUCCUGAUAUACAAAAAGACAUUGAAAUGUAUACGAGAAAUGAAAUAGAAAAGCAAAACCGACAUUAUCUAGAAUCUCAAUGGCAAACUAACCAGCCACUUGAAUAUCGGGAAUCUGAUAGACACAGACGGCAAUCAGAGAGCGAUAAAAGCAAACCUCAAUCACCUCCAUCCGAUUAUAGCCACCAAAACGAGAAGAACAACAUUGGUGUUGUAUCACCUAUGAAGUCCAGUGAGUCUAGUUCACCAAGUGUAAAAUCUCCAUCUUCGGAUAGUCGCCGGAGUAGUGGUGGUAAUCAAGCGCUGAGAUCUCCUAUAGCUCAAAGGAUUCCGUCGGCACCGGUUGCUAUGUCGGGUAUAUUGUACAAACAGGGUUCAGAUGGACUCAAAGUAUGGAGAAAGAGAUGGUUCGUUUUGUCAGAGUACUGUUUAUUCUACUACAAAAGUCAAGAUGAGGAAAAGCUCUUGGGAUCAGUACUUUUGCCGUCAUACAAAGUGUCGGCGUGUUCAUCGGAGGACAAAGUACUUAGGAAGUAUUCAUUCAAGCUAGAGCAUGCGAAUAUGAGGACAUACGUGCUCGCGGCUCCUGAUCAGGAGUCAAUGCUGAAAUGGGUCAAGGCACUGACCAUGGCCGCACUGAUGCAAAGCCCCAAUGAGCAACCACAAAAACAGAUCGAGCGGCCACCUGCGAAAACCGAGGAGGGAGAUGAAGUACCAGGACCAACUUACGCAAACGCUCCACCAAAACCUCGACGGUCUAACGAAGGUUAUAAUUCUCCUAGUCCUGAUAUGUACGAUCCAAAUUACGACAUUCUAAAAAAGCCAGCAUCACACUACAGUCAAGGCACUAAUCACACUCGUUAUCAAGAUCACACAAACUAUCCAAGCAGUCCAAACCUGGAGAGUACAUACACCCGUAGCCCGCCACCAGUACAGCCAACUCAAUACCAGACGAAACGAUCUUAUGACACGCAUCACCUCUCCCUGCCAUUGACUAACACAGUCUCUGAUAAAUUAGAAAAUAACCAACCAAGUACUUCAUCAGCGUACAAAUCUAAUCCUCAAUCGCCUUACUUUAACGAUAGGUCACGAUAUCAACAUCCUCGACAGCCUACGCAAGACAACACGCAAGAAAGUUUGUACGAUACACAGCAACCUGGACCUCGCAAUCCUUUCCUACAGGAUAAUACACCACCAAUGGAUGAUAGAAACGGGUCUAAAGAACAAGCUAUUCAACAUAACCAAUCUGCAUUGGAGCAAGAAAGAGUACAAUCAAAUUAUCAUGACGAUUAUUCAGAGACUCGAGAGAAAUCUAAAUCUAAUAUUGACAGCAAUGUCUAUAACAAAGAUAUUUAUGGUGAAAUGACACGGUCGAACAGGGGACCGAGUGUGACUAAUGAGCGAUUAUUGGUCGAUAGACGGACACCUGAUGCAUAUGGUCGUGCUAAUACCAUGGCUUCUUAUACCAAGGGUAAAAUCGGAGACUAUGAAGAUGUCUAUGGAAUGUAUGCAGCGGAGAAUGAGUACGGCAAAACAUAUGCUAAGUCACCUCCUCAGUCGUCUCAGACAAACGCUGGUAAUAAUCUUUCUAGUCAACAGCGGCAGCAACAACAAGAAUAUGGCGGGAAUUAUCACCAGGAAAAGACUUUUAGCGGACCAUCAGUAUUAAGAAGAAAGAAAAUGCAAUCUAGUGGUAUUCAGCCUCCAGUGCCCAGGCCUCAUAGUGCCGAUUUUCUUGAGUAUGAAUCCAAGAACGAGACGUUAAAUAAAACCAUGCCAAGUACAGCGACAUGUGAUCCACCUCGCCAACCACAACGGCCUAAGUCUAGUCUUGAUAUAAAUUCAUAUUACGAUCCAAGCUCUGAUAGAUAUUACUCAGAAGAAAGUUAUGCAGAGAAAAUGAGACAAUCGGCACAAUAUUUACAACAACAAGGAUUAGGACCUAAAAAUAUUCAGAUACCAUUAGCAAAAUAUGCGAGUGGAUUAGCAGAAAAACAGCUCAAUUCUCCUUACUCUCAGGUCACUAAUAAUAAUUACGAGACCGAAUUCGCCCCAAAAAAACCUGCACGAGAUAACAUUAGUUAUAAUUCAAAGUAUAGUGAUUUAGAAGGUUUAAAUUCUAAUUGGACUUUAAAAGAAAAAGGCAUUGAACAUCAAAAAGAUGUUUUGAAUCGAAGUGGAAGCGUCAUGAGCGAUGGUUCUAAUAUUAGUUUUGUUAAAGAAAAUAUGAGCAGAUUUGAUCCCACAUCAGAAGGAUUUAUGAGAUCAGCUAGUGCUAGGUUACCAUCAACACUAACAGAAAAAGAUGGCGACAAGAAAGUUCAACAGCGAGAAGAAUCAAUGAAACGCUUGCUUGAGUGGAAACAGAGAAUGCUUCAAUCACCGUUGACGAGAAAAAGCACCCCAGCUACUAUAUCACUGGCUCGGUCUUUGAACCAAAGUCGGCAGUCUCUAAGAUCAGACCAGUAUAAAUCUAAAACCUAUACAAAUGCUACAUAUAACAGUUAUUCUUCUGACGAUGAAGCUUCUAUGACAAUGCCAGGCGCACAUAUGGACUCCAACUCAAAUAAUAAUUCGUCAAAUCAGCAAGCAUUAUCAAAAAAAGCUUUUCUUGGAAGUAACACCUCUAUCGGAAGAAAUACCAGAGAUGCUAACAUACCUGUACGGGCUGUUAGUCCUAGAGUUAGAUGGGUCGAAGACAAAACUUCUAAUGAUCACUAUGGAUCACAACAGAUGUCUACUUCACAACAAAAUUUACAUACACUAAGUACAGAGGAUGUCUGGGCUACAACUCGGUCGCCUUCAAGAGCUUCUCAACAACCUAUCCGAGCUGUUAGUCCACGGGUCCGAAGGAACACAGAAACUGAUGAUUUGCAAAGGAAUCAGCGAUCGGGUCCUGAGCAGCUAGGAGAAGUCCCGACAGCUGGGGAGCUUCUAGGUCGCACUCACGAGGAGUUGGUACUACUCCUGAUUCAGUUGAGGCGGAGGCAUGCCGCGACGCAUCGUGCAAUUGAACAUUGCUGCGCCCAAAUCACUAGCACGGAGGAAUCCCUCAGUUCUUUAAAAGCAAUAGAACGUGAAGAGAGCCUGCAACGUCUUGAACAACUCAAAAUGCAAUUGAUGGAAUUAGAGCAUCAUUAUGAAAAGAGCAAGCCUUUGGUACAACUAGUGGAUAACAUGGUCAAGUUGGGGUCAUUGUAUAACAGACCCGGUUCCACUGUCGAGCGGCUUGAAAGGAACCAGAGAUUAAGGCAAAAGGUCCUUGCAGAACACGCAAUGGAACAGCAAAGAUGGCUGGAAAGUGCUGCAGCAGGAAAACCCUUGGAGACAGAAGCCGCCCGGGCCAGAGUGGCAGAACUUUGGGCGUUAGAACAGGAACUGGCCGACGAAGCUGCUAUCCUGCAGGGAUUGAAGACUGACAAAGAUACUUUAGAAUCUUUGCUCACUGGUGUUCGAGGAAAAUUAGACAGCGUUCCUCGCACAGACAUCACUCGCAGCAGUAUGAGCAACAUUAUGAAUUCCGGAGCAGGCGCGGGGCUCGAGGCGGAGUUGGCGCGCGUGCACGCCAUGCUCGCGCACAAUUCUAAGGUUUAUAAGAAACUGGAGCAGACGGUGGCAGACAACGCGCGGUUGGAGCGCGAGCUGCAGCAGCUGCGGCGCGCGCUGCAGGCGCGGCGCUCCGCCGGGCCCGCGCAUCCCACCGCCUUGCUCGAGGACGAGGUGACACGAGUACAACAACUGGUAUCAGCGCUGCAGCGCCAGCGACAGGAGCUAAGCCGAGCUGUGAGACACCUCACGCAGCAAUCUCAGGCGCUGCAGACCACGCACGACUCCAUGCCAGGUAAACAACGCCGGCCUUCAUCCAUCUGGCAGGAGACCAACCUGGAUACCGGUCAUACGAUCGAGCACGGACAAGGAGACUACGACUACGACAUUAAUGGACUAGUUCCACCUGGACAUUACGAACAUACCAAUGUGGAGACUCCGUUAUAUGUUGAUACUAGGCCUUCUGCCCCUGACCUCACAUCUCCGAUGACUAGUGAAGAUAUGCAGCAUGGAGGAUUCGCAAAUCUGUCGAAUGUAGAAAAACAAGAGAUCAAAACGGUCAGGAUUGUUAAAAGAGAAAGCGAAAGACGACAAAGAGACAGAGAACGCUCACUACAGCCGAUGUCAGAUUGGACUUCCAACAACAUUACAGCCAAUCUUGACCAAUUCAUAGAGGAAGAACUAGUACAAUCUCUAAAUUAUGCCAGAGCUUCAUCAGUUCCUCGCACCGAUUUUAGUAAAUUCGAAGAAUAUUACGCAAAACCGCAAGAACCUCCAAAUUAUCUUCGCAUAAAUGAUAAAAACAUGGAACUUAGUCCCAAAUAUCCAUCAAGUCCUUCGCUAUCUAACUAUGAUUACUCUCGCGACAUAUCGUCUCUUAGCAGCAGUUACCAUAAGAGCUACGAUCGGUCUGGUUAUGAUAGAACCAUUUCGCUUUCAACUCAGUACCUGAACAGCCCUACAGAUAGUUCCAGAACUUUAACUAACGAUCCCUUAUCAAAAACUAGUAGUAUAGUAAGUCUGACGCGGUCCCAUAUGGAGCUAUCUCCGAUAUUCAAGAGUGAAGCAGCUAAGCAAAUCAUAACGGAGAUGUCUGGAGAGCCAAAGAAUGGAUCUUUACAUAGGAGACAAGUUCCGAAAGAAAAGAGACGGCAUUAUACUGCACCACAUCAUCUUAGUGCAAAGACAUUGAACGAAAUGCCUAAAGAAGUAUAUAAUCAAGAUGUAAGUACCGAAAAAAAAAUGGGUCGUUCCCUGGACGACGCGGACAUGGAGCGCGCGCUGCGCGGCGCGGCGCCCGACGUGGUGCGGUCGGCGCUGCCCGCGCCGCGCCGCGCCGCCGCCGCCAUCGACCAGCUGCUCGCCGCGCCGCGCAAGAUAAUCAUUCCCGAGCGCUACGUCCCUGAAAAGCCUCCAGAACUAUCGCCGGAAGAGCAACAGAAGCGUCAAGAGAAGGUGGAAUCAAUUAAGAAAAUGCUCUCAAGUUCUUCAGCCGACCCUAACAAGAGCCCCGACGGAGAAGAGAAGCGACAGCGGGAACAUUUGCUGCAGAUGAACCAGAUUCUAGCCAAGCAGGUCACCGAGAUGAGCAAAAUCAUCGCCGGAACCAACACUGACCAAGGGCCGUCCACCGCCAACUGAUCCAUACAUAUCAUUCUAAAUGACCUACACAGCAUACCAAACCGCACAUAUACAUAACGUCACAUUAUAUUUACACAUUAACAGCUAGAUUUGCUACUAUUUUCUAUUUUUGGAUGGCCCUUUGAAGACUCCAGUCCAGUUUGUUGCAGCAUGGUUUCGUUUUAUUGCAUUUUGUUUGAAAGCGUUAGAAGAGCUGCCAGAGCGAGACCAAAACUACGAUUUGGACGAUCGGUCGCCCGAUGUCGAACUCCCCAUUUACCAACAACGAGACAACUUUUUCACGUAAAACAUAAUGACUUAACUCAUUAUAAUCUUGAUCGAGAUUAUUAAAAAGAUCAUUGACAUCGAUAUCUUAGAAAUGGUGUCUUUCCUCCCAUCAACUGACGACUUACUAACCUAAAUCUUGACUCAGAUAUUGAUGAAUGAUCAUUAUCUAAUAUAAUCAUCUCUGUGGGCUUUAAUAUAUAUUGUAAGCUGUGUAGUUCAAUUAUUACUACUCAAUAUAUCUAAAAUCUUUGAACUAGCGAUGUUUAUAGUCAAAGGUUUUAAUAUUUACCUUAUAACUAGAAUUGUUAUCCAUUAAUAAAUUUUAAGUACAUACUACUAGUUCACUCAAUUAAGACUAAUGCUUAGUAUAUUUAUUGAUUUAAGUUGUUCCAACUUGUCUUUCUAAUUUUUAUGGAAAGAUAUGAAACAAUUUAUCCCUUCAAGUAUUUUGCGAUACUUUAUCCUGCAUUGCUUUCGAAUACGUAUAUUUAAACUUAAAUUUAUUCGAUACAAAUGUAGUACCAAGUACUACAUUUGUAUCGAAUAAAUUUUUAAUAACUGGAAAAUUGUCGCUUGGUACUUGAAGUUGGAUUCCUGAUUUGGUACUUACUAAAUAAGACUCCGCUUGGCACAUAUCCAUUUAAUGUCAUAUCCAUAGAGGAUGAUACAUGAAGUUUAUCCCGCUUAGCAAUUGAUAACAGGUUAUUUAUUUAUUAACGUUUGCUCAAUUUUGACGACAUUCCCACUGUAGGUAGCUGUUUUAUACUAAUAUUUGGUAGAUUUUCAAUAUUAGCGACUUUCCUAAGGAUUUUGAAUAUCAUUUAGGCCAGUUUUAUAUACAAUUAUAAAAAAAAAUGUGUAUUGUGAAAACUUUGCCUAUGUAUGAAGUCUUCUAUGUAAAAGGCCUUGAAUUUUAUCGUAGAACUAUGUUAAGAUACCUAUACUUAAUUAUUUGUAUUUAGCUAGUAAUAUUUUGUACGAUGCCAUGUUAAUCUAUUAAUUUAACCCAUCAUUAUAGUUAAAGCACACAUUUUAAAGAUUAUACAUUACUUAUAUUAAGUUAAAACGAAUAACAAUGCGUUUUAGUAUUAUUUCGUUUUUAUAUUUUUUUCUUGUAUCAUAACUGUAAAUAUCAUGUAUUUUUAUUUCAAUAAAUUUUAAUGUUUAUGUUACAUGUGUGUUUUUGGUUUUUACAAUUAAUUUUUAACACAGUUUUCUCGGUAGUCAAUGUAAAAAGUUAAAUA
RNA transcript from Plodia interpunctella (Indianmeal moth), 7843 nucleotides. It is a transcript of the gene named kramer, with no coding region annotated. The transcript is spliced from 24 exons. The record is from RefSeq and is a predicted model, not a curated record. Lineage: Eukaryota; Metazoa; Arthropoda; Insecta; Lepidoptera; Pyralidae.